CAAAAAUGCACAUAUUGUGAGCUCGAUGAGUAGGGCGGGACACGUGGUAUCCUGUCUGAAUAUGGGGGGACCAUCCUCCAAGGCUAAAUACUCCUGACUGACCGAUAGUGAACCAGUACCGUGAGGGAAAGGCGAAAAGAACCCCGGCGAGGGGAGUGAAAAAGAACCUGAAACCGUGUACGUACAAGCAGUGGGAGCACGCUUAGGCGUGUGACUGCGUACCUUUUGUAUAAUGGGUCAGCGACUUAUAUUCUGUAGCAAGGUUAACCGAAUAGGGGAGCCGAAGGGAAACCGAGUCUUAACUGGGCGUUAAGUUGCAGGGUAUAGACCCGAAACCCGGUGAUCUAGCCAUGGGCAGGUUGAAGGUUGGGUAACACUAACUGGAGGACCGAACCGACUAAUGUUGAAAAAUUAGCGGAUGACUUGUGGCUGGGGGUGAAAGGCCAAUCAAACCGGGAGAUAGCUGGUUCUCCCCGAAAGCUAUUUAGGUAGCGCCUCGUGAAUUCAUCUCCGGGGGUAGAGCACUGUUUCGGCAAGGGGGUCAUCCCGACUUACCAACCCGAUGCAAACUGCGAAUACCGGAGAAUGUUAUCACGGGAGACACACGGCGGGUGCUAACGUCCGUCGUGAAGAGGGAAACAACCCAGACCGCCAGCUAAGGUCCCAAAGUCAUGGUUAAGUGGGAAACGAUGUGGGAAGGCCCAGACAGCCAGGAUGUUGGCUUAGAAGCAGCCAUCAUUUAAAGAAAGCGUAAUAGCUCACUGGUCGAGUCGGCCUGCGCGGAAGAUGUAACGGGGCUAAACCAUGCACCGAAGCUGCGGCAGCGACGCUUAUGCGUUGUUGGGUAGGGGAGCGUUCUGUAAGCCUGCGAAGGUGUGCUGUGAGGCAUGCUGGAGGUAUCAGAAGUGCGAAUGCUGACAUAAGUAACGAUAAAGCGGGUGAAAAGCCCGCUCGCCGGAAGACCAAGGGUUCCUGUCCAACGUUAAUCGGGGCAGGGUGAGUCGACCCCUAAGGCGAGGCCGAAAGGCGUAGUCGAUGGGAAACAGGUUAAUAUUCCUGUACUUGGUGUUACUGCGAAGGGGGGACGGAGAAGGCUAUGUUGGCCGGGCGACGGUUGUCCCGGUUUAAGCGUGUAGGCUGGUUUUCCAGGCAAAUCCGGAAAAUCAAGGCUGAGGCGUGAUGACGAGGCACUACGGUGCUGAAGCAACAAAUGCCCUGCUUCCAGGAAAAGCCUCUAAGCAUCAGGUAACAUCAAAUCGUACCCCAAACCGACACAGGUGGUCAGGUAGAGAAUACCAAGGCGCUUGAGAGAACUCGGGUGAAGGAACUAGGCAAAAUGGUGCCGUAACUUCGGGAGAAGGCACGCUGAUAUGUAGGUGAAGUCCCUCGCGGAUGGAGCUGAAAUCAGUCGAAGAUACCAGCUGGCUGCAACUGUUUAUUAAAAACACAGCACUGUGCAAACACGAAAGUGGACGUAUACGGUGUGACGCCUGCCCGGUGCCGGAAGGUUAAUUGAUGGGGUUAG
This 1525-nucleotide ribosomal RNA is filed under the name Escherichia coli. RNAcentral describes it as "partial 23S ribosomal RNA". It matches the Rfam family "Bacterial large subunit ribosomal RNA", at positions 380 to 1893 of the family's 2925-position model. The record is from RNAcentral. Lineage: Bacteria; Pseudomonadati; Pseudomonadota; Gammaproteobacteria; Enterobacterales; Enterobacteriaceae.